RNAcentral lists this long non-coding RNA (346 nucleotides) under Gossypium barbadense (sea-island cotton). RNAcentral's name for it is "long non-coding RNA (GBAR_LNC023250)". Lineage: Eukaryota; Viridiplantae; Streptophyta; Magnoliopsida; Malvales; Malvaceae. The record is from RNAcentral.
CACCCACAUUGUCAAUGCCCGCUUACCCUGUCUCUAGUCAGCCAGUUGGUGCCUAUCCAUCACGACAAUUUACAACUGGAGGUCCUAUUCCUAAUGCUGCUCCUGCUAGUUAUGCGGGAAAUCCAGUUCCAUGGGGACCACCAGUUCCUCCUCCUCCCCCUUAUGCCCCUUAUGCCCCUCCUCCCCCUCCUCCUCCUGGCUCAACCAUUUAUCCUCCUGUUCAUGGUCAGCCUAUGCCACCUUAUGGUUUGCAAUAUCCCCCACAAAUGCAGACGGUUCCUCCUGGUGUUGCACCUCCACCUCCACCUGUGACUUCUAGUGAAACAGCACAAAGUUUUCCACCAGG